Molecule: ribosomal RNA, 566 nt
Filed under: uncultured bacterium
Lineage: Bacteria
Description: partial 16S ribosomal RNA
Rfam family: Bacterial small subunit ribosomal RNA
Source: RNAcentral
UGGGGAAUUUUGGACAAUGGGCGAAAGCCUGAUCCAGCAAUGCCGCGUGUGUGAAGAAGGCCUUCGGGUUGUAAAGCACUUUUGUCCGGAAAGAAAUCCUCUGGGUUAAUACCUCGGGGGGAUGACGGUACCGGAAGAAUAAGCACCGGCUAACUACGUGCCAGCAGCCGCGGUAAUACGUAGGGUGCAAGCGUUAAUCGGAAUUACUGGGCGUAAAGCGUGCGCAGGCGGUUUUGUAAGACGGAUGUGAAAUCCCCGGGCUUAACCUGGGAACUGCAUUCGUGACUGCAAGGCUAGAGUAUGGCAGAGGGGGGUAGAAUUCCACGUGUAGCAGUGAAAUGCGUAGAGAUGUGGAGGAAUACCGAUGGCGAAGGCAGCCCCCUGGGCCAAUACUGACGCUCAUGCACGAAAGCGUGGGGAGCAAACAGGAUUAGAUACCCUGGUAAUCCACGCCCUAAACGAUGUCAACUAGUUGUUGGGGAUUCAUUUCCUUAGUAACGUAGCUAACGCGUGAAGUUGACCGCCUGGGGAGUACGGUCGCAAGAUUAAAACUCAAAUGAAUUGAC